AAUGUCCCAUUGCAGUGUCCCCACUGUCCCCGCUGUCACAAGGUGAAGAUCCCAUCCUGAUGUCCCCAAUGUCCCACUGCAGUGUCCCCAGUGUCCCACUGCAGUGUCCCCGCUGUCCCCGCUGUCACAAGGUGAAGAUCUCGUCCUGGGUGUCCCCAAAGUCCCAUUUCAGUGUCCCCAAUGUCCUGCUGUCCCCAGUGUCCCACUGCAGUGUCCCCGCUGUCCCCGCUGUCACAAGGUGAAGAUCUCGUCCUGGGUGUCCCCAAUGUCCUGCUGUCCCCGCUGUCCCCGCUGUCCCCGCUGUCACAAGGUGAAGAUCUCGUCCUGGGUGUCCCCAAUGUCCUGCUGUCCCCAAUGUCCUGCUGUCCCCAAUGUCCUGCUGUCCCCGCUGUCCCCGCUCUCCCUGCUGUCACAAGGUGAAGAUCUCGUGCUGGGUGUCCCCAAUGUCCUGCUGUCCCCAAUGUCCUGCUGUCCCCAAUGUCAUGUCCCUGCUGUCCCCGCUGUCACAAGGUGAAGAUCUCGUCCUGGGUGUCCCCAAUGUCCUGCUGUCCCCAAUGUCCUGCUGUCCCCGCUGUCCCCGCUCUCCCUGCUGUCACAAGGUGAAGAUCUCGUGCUGGGUGUCCCCAAUGUCCUGCUGUCCCCAAUGUCCUGCUGUCCCCAAUGUCAUGUCCCUGCUGUCCCCGCUGUCACAAGGUGAAGAUCUCAUCCUGGGUGUCCCCAAUGUCCUGCUGUCCCCAAUGUCCUGCUGUCCCCAAUGUCCCCGCUGUCCCCGCUGUCCCCGCUGUCCCCGCUGUCACAAGGUGAAGAUCUCAUCCUGGUGUCCCCAAUGUCCU
Vidua chalybeata is the source of this 833-nucleotide long non-coding RNA. RefSeq lists it as uncharacterized. NCBI's taxonomy places the organism in Eukaryota, Metazoa, Chordata, Aves, Passeriformes, Viduidae. The record is from RefSeq and is a predicted model, not a curated record. The transcript has 3 exons.